UUGCUUCUAAUAUCUGGCCUUCUCAGAUAUACUGUGCCUGUAUAAGUCAAAGUCAUUCCUAUUUAAUGUUUACCUUUUUCACACAGUAUAAUCAUUUUUUAACUUAAGCCAUGGUAAAAGGCAUGGAGAGUCCAGAGGAGUCCAGUGAAACGUCGGACCUCUCUGAAGAAGAGAUCAGGGAUUAUGCACUGGAAAUAGGAAUUGAUCCGGAGACAGAGCCGGAACUUAUGUGGCUGGCGAAGGAGGCUAGGUUUGCCCGAUUGCCUCCAGGAUGGUUGGAGCGCGAAGAUGACAGUGGGAACACCACCUUUCACAACACCUACUUGCAGAUAGCCUCAAAUGUACACCCUUGCAAAUUGCAAUACCGCAAGCUGGUGGCACAGGAACGCGACCGCAUUCAGCGCACGACUGCUGUUAUAUGCUCAGAAAGCACACAGGGCAGGAAAGAGAAUGGGGAACCUAUUCAUGCAGUGGGUCUAUUUGGCAGUGGGUUCUUGAGUAUAAUAGGCAACAGACAUGAAGAAACAGCAUCUCUGACACUCUUCAGCUUUGAGGAUGAAGAUGAUGGUAUUAUCUCUGAAAAGGAGUCAAUUCCUUGUUCUUCUAACAGUGACAUUGAGAACAUAUCUAUGAACCAGUGGGGUGAACAAUACAAGAAUACGGUGAUAGAGGCCCACGGACAUAUCCGUGGCACUGCAGCUGGCGGUGGCUUACGCGCCAAAUGGUUCCAUGAUGGAGAGGAGUGUACCAAAACACCCACGGGUCUCUUUUGCAGUGGAUUCUUGAGUGUUUUAGGCAGUGGACAGGAUGAAAUUGCUUGUUCACCGUCCAGCUAUUAUGUUGACAAUGACCACACAUAUGAAAAAGAGGAUUCGGGAGGCAGUGAAGUAUAUAUAAUUCAGGAUCAGAGCAGUGAAUUUUCACAGCGACACUUCUCAGUUGAGACACUAGGCAGUUCUGUGGACACUGACAGUCACCUGGAGGUAUUUGUCAAAGAAGAACAAGGCCUCGAUGAAUUUGACAGACUUGGUGAAAAAUGCCAACAGUCAUCUAAAUACGUCCAGACUCCUUUGUCGAGUUCUUUUAGACGUUCAGGAGCUAAAAAGGACAAGCAAGUAAAGAAGCCUAACAAGACGUCUGGUGCUCUCUUUGUCAGUGGCUUCUUCAGUGUUAUAGAACCUGGGGAUGAAGAAGUAGGCUGUUUUACUCAGCCCAACUCUGAUUAUGCAGAAGGCAUUGGCAUCUGUGAAAAGCUAUUGUCAGAGAAUUAUACUACCUGUGACAGUGUGCCGGAGAUGGAUGUGAAAAAAGGAAAGGAUAAGAAACCUGAGUUGACCAAAAGCCAACACAGCCAUGAUAUUGAUGAUACGUGGGACUCUGAGCAGGAUAAAGAGGAAGAGGAAACUGUCAGACCAACAGGACUGCUGGCAAAGUUUCUGUACACCAACAAGUCUGAUGGCUGGGACAGUCAGGAGGACGAGGAUGCCAACACUGUCAAGAGCUCAGUUGAGUAUGCAGACAAAUCUGUUGGUGAAGACACUUAUCGAGUAUAUCAAGUGCAUAAACACACUCAGUGCAAUGGUGCUGUGUUGCACUCGGGAGCAGAACAAGACAAGGACAAAGAGGAGCGUAUUAACAAAACACAGGAGGUGGAUGACAGAGAAGGGAAUGAUGAAGAGAACAAGGCUGCUGAGAGCCCAAAUGAGUCUCGGGGAAAAUCAGAAGACAAUCUGGUGGAUCAGGGGAAUGAACACAUCGAGCACCCUGAUAAUGUACCGGACGAAGAAUCUCUCAACAAAAUGUACAGUAUUAUACAGCAGAUCAUCCUUCUCAUCAUUGAACAAGUUGCACUACAGUCACAGGAUACAACUGACAGUAUUGAAAGUACAUCAGAUGAGACCACUGAGACAGAAACGUCAUCAGACACUACUGAGACAACAGCGCAACAGGAGACAACUAGCACUGAGUUAAGUCCAUUGACCGAGACGACACAGUCACCUGAAAGCCGCAGUACUGAUUUACAAGACCAACAGGCACCAUCAGACUUUGAGUACACAGAGAAUUCUGCUGUCUGUGACAGAAAGCAGAGGAUGGAUGUCAAACAAGAGAAGGCUGCCAAAUGCCAAGACAUCCAGAGCACAGAUGCCGUAUUGGACUUAAUAGACGAACAGAACAGGGACAAAGAAGAAUCUAUCAAUAAACCUAGUUUAAAAGUGCCCUGCAAGAGAAAACAUCUUUCUCCAGACCACAGAGACAGUGACUCAUAUCCUCCAGGAGAAGAAGAAAUGUACAACAAAACUUAUAGUAGAACGGCACAGCAACAGGUACCGUCAAACUAUGUGAACACUGACAAUUACGGUUACCGCGAAUGUCAGCAAGAGAUGGAAGUCAAGGAGGAUGAAGAGGAGGCUGCAAAUAGCCAAGAAUUCAUUGGUGAAGACACCAACAGUUUUCCGGUUGUUGAGGACCAGGAGGAAGAGGAACCUUUAAAAAAACCAAAGCUUUCUGGAGGAUUUAAGGACUCCAACUAUUUUGUUUACUUUGACAGUCAUCUGGCGAUAGAUUUCCACAGACAAGGAAAGGAUGAGGAUGAGGAUUCCAAGGGUACCAAAAGUCAAGAUGAGCCUGGACACGGCUCCUUUUGUAAGGAACCCAUCCAGGGCACGGAUGGUGCUAUGGGCUCAGAAGCCAAACAGGUCAAGGAAGAAGAGAGGCCUUCCAAACAAUUUGGGGAAUUGACCUGUUCUCAUGGCCACAAUACCAAAUCGCCAAAUCAACAGACACAAGUGUUUAUGGACUGCCACACUUGCGUUUGCCCUGACAAUCAGCAUGCAUGCCUUGCAGUCCAUGUCAAAGUGAAGGAUGAGGGGAAUGUGGCUGCCAAGAGCCGUGAUAAAGAGGAGCCAAGUAAAGCACAUGGACGGUUGGGAGAGGUUUUGGAAUCCAGCAAUUCUGCUUCUGAAUCGGAUUCAGAUUGUAAAGAAGAGGAGGAUAAUGACACUGAAACUUCCAAAAGCCAAGAUGAUGAUCACCAAGUGGAUCAGGAGCAUGAACGCAAGCGCGCUGAUGCUGUUGAGGACAUAGAAGCUAAAGACAUGGCCAAAGAGGGGCUUAUCCAAAACCUUGGAGAUCUUUUUAUCAGUGGAUUCUUGAGUGUCAUAAGCACCAGGCAAGAAGAAUCAGUAUCUCAUACUCCACCCAGCCUGGUAAUGCUGUUGAAAAGGUUUUUGGGGCCGUUUUUGGAAUCCAGCAAUUCUGCUUCUGAGUUGGAGUCAGAUGACAAAGACAGGGAGGAUAAUGACACUGAGGCUUCCAAGAGCCAAGAUGACUCAGUAGAGGACCCUUCAAGUGACUAUGGGCAUGAACACUUGAAGUGCAAUGUUGGGAACCUUAAAACCAAACUGGGCAAGGACAAAAAGGAGCCUAUCCAAACGCUUACAGGUUUAAGAGAUCGUGAUGCAGAUCCAACAGAGAUGGCAGGAAUGCAAGAGGUAUUGGGACAAGACGAGGUGGACGAAGAUACAGUGAAAACUCCAAGGUUGUUUGUAGAUAUUCCAGAUUGGAAAACUGGACUGGAAAGGGAUUUUAAAGAUGAAGAUGACGUUGAGAAGGCUCAUACUUCCAAGAGCCUACAUGACUGUGGGCGUUACUUUUCUGGUGAAAUUAUGAGCAGUGUCCAGGUGGAUCAGUUGUUUGAACGCAGUCAGUCUAGUGGGGUCUCUGACGUCAACCAGCACGAGGCUGAGGAACAGCCUAUCAAAACACCCGGAUCACAACCACACUCCAUUAGAGCUCCCACUGUAGCCACUGACGAGUUGCCGAGGUAUCCAUGUCUUCCACCUCUUUUGAUUAAGGUACAGACAGAGCUGUUAUUGCGGCAGGGGAGAAUGCAUUUCUGCCAGGAAGAUCUAAAGAAACAAGAGGAUGGAAAAGAGGAUAAUUUAAACAGAGAGAAGAAGGCAAGAAUGUGUCUGCGCCAGGAAAAGCUACAGAGAGAGGAACAGGAAGAAGAGGAACAGUUAGUAAAGGAAAAGGAGAAAAGAAUAAGUUUGCGCCAGCAGGAGCUAAAGAAAGAAGAGGAGAGGGAAAUGGAGUUGUUAAAAAGGGAAAAAGAGAAGAGAACACAUCUUCUACGGGAAAGGCUGAAGAGAGAGGAAGAGGAAGAGGCGCAGCAGUUAAAGAUGGCGAAGGGAAAUAGAAUCUGUGUCCUCAAGGAGCGGCUGGGUGAAGAAAAAGACGAAAAGUUGAAAAAUGAUCUGAAGCGAAGGACACAAACCCAACAGGACGCGCAAAAGAAAAUGGAGCCGAUGGAGCAAUUAAUGAUGGAAAGGAGGAAUAAAAAACUUUUUGAUGAGAACCUGAGGAGGGAGGAUGGCAGCAAACCAUUGAACACAAAAAUGGAAACCAGAGCACAUCAUAGCCAGGAGGAAGAAGAUAAGGAAGAACAGUUGAAAAGUGACCAAGAGGAACUCAGUACGGAGGAAGAAAAUGAUGCUGAACAAAUAAAAAGGGAAGAAAAGUCAAGAGCACACAUAUUCCAAGAGGAGUUCUCUAGUGACGAAGAAGAGGAGGAUGAGACGUUUAAGAAGGAUAAAGACAUCCAAAGUCGGGAACAGCUCAGCAGUGAGGAAGAGGAGGUGGGACAAUUGAAGGUGGAAAAAGAGAGAAGAACUAGCUGCCGCCUGGAAAAGCUAGGGAGAGAGGAAGAGGAAGAGGUGGCACGGUUAAAGAGAGACAUUUUCAAGAGAAAAAGUUUCCUCCUAGCGGAGCUUUGUGCAGACUUUAAAAAAGAGCUGCAAUUGAGAAUACAAUUCUCCCACGACGAACUGAAAAGGGAGGAAGAGGAGGAGCUAGAGAAAUUGAAGAGGGAAAAGGAAAGAAGAAUGCAUCAACAAAAAGAGAAGCUGUUGAGAGAAGAAGAGGAUGAGGCAGCACAAUUAAAGAAGGAGAAAGAGAGAAGAAUUUGUUGCUGCCGCAAAAUGCUCAGAAGACAUGAAGAGGUAGAAGUGGAGCAACUUAAGCAGGAAAAAGAGACGAGAAUGCAACGCCACCUGCAACAGCUUGACAGAGAGGAGGAGAGUUUCUUGAAGAACGACAAGAACUUGAGAAAAAAUCUCCAAAAGGAGCCGAGCAGGGAGGCAGAAGAGGCUGAGCGAUCAAAGAGGCAAAAAGACCUGACAUGUCUUCGCCAACAAUUACGUCCAAAAAGGGAAGAAGAGGAGGAUGAGCAGUUGAGCAACGCAACUCGAACCCGGCUUUGGCAGGAGGAACUAAGGAGAGAAGAAGAAGAGGAUGAAAGGAGAAACUUUAACUUACCACAAGACAGACUUCUCAGAGAGGAGGAUUUGGAUCAGCUAAAUAAGGAAAAAGACAGGAGAAUGAGGCUUUACAAGGAGACGCUGAGGAGAGAAGAAGAGGAGGAGUUGGAGUUUUUGAAGAGAGAAAGUGUGGCCAAAGUUCAUUGUCACAAGGAAGCACUAAACAGAGAGGAAGAAAAAGAGAUGAAGCAGUUAAAGACAGAAAAGGAAGAAAGAAUACGUGUUUUCCAGGAAGAGUUGAGGAGAGAGGAAGCCAAUGAAAGGGAACGAUUAAAGAGGGUAAGGGAAAGGAAAUUGUCGCCUGGCCGGAAGGAACAUUGCAUAGAGGAAAAAGGAAACAAGGAGUUAACAAGGGAAGAGACAAAAUUGAAGCGCCAAGGAAUGGAUCCGAGAACAGAGGAAGAGGAGGCAAUGCGGUUAAUGAGGGAAGAGAUGCUCUGCCAUGAAGACUGUAGUAGAGAAGAGGAAGAGGAAUUAGAGGUCUUGAAGAUGGAUAUUAUGAGAAGGUGGCUGCAACAAGAGAAGGGGGGAGAAAAGCUCGAGCAGGUUGGUUUUAAGAAGGAGAUUGAGGCAAGAACACAGCUCCUCCAGGACGGGCUAAGUAAAGAGGAUGAGAAUGAGGGGCUGAAAAGCUGCCAAAAGGAACUGAGUUCAGAGGAAGAGGAAAUGGAUGAAGCAAACCAGUUUAAUAAGAAAACAGAAAAAGGCAACUAUCACUGGCCGCAGGAGCUCGAAGGGGAGGAUGAGGAGCAAGUUGAGAUGAAAAAUAGAGAAAAGGUAAUGAGAAGACAAUUCAGUUGGGAGGACCUGAUGAGUGGAGAAGAAGAGAAGGUGGAAGAGUUUAUUGGAGUAAAGGACAAGUUAAUGCAGCAAGAGCUAAGGAUAAAGGAAGAGAGGGAUGUGAACGUUUUAGCUAGGGAAAAGGAAAGAAGAAUUCAUUCUGGCUCAGAAGAGUUGAAGAGAGAAGAAGUGAAGCAGUUAGAGAGGGAACAGAAGAGUAGACUCGGGAUCCACCUGGAAGAGCUGAGAAGAGAAGAAAAAAAUGAGGCAGAUGAAUUAAAGAAAGAAAAGGAAAGGAGAACAUGUCGUCUCCUGGAAGAACUGAGGGAAGAGGAAGAGGAGGAGGCUGAGAGGUUAAAGAAGGACAAAGAAAAGAGAAUGCGCCUCCUCCGAGAGCAGCUGAGGAGAGAAGAAGAGGGAGAGCGAUUGAAUGGAGAAAAUGAAAGAAGAAUACGGCUUCAGCAAGAGGAACUGAUUGGACAGGAAGAGGAGGAGUGGUGUAGGAUGGACAAGGAGGAACAAAUGCGACUUUACCUGGAAAGACUAAGAAAAGAGGAAGAAGAGACAGGAGAGCAAUUGAAGAUUAAAAAGAAGAAGACAAUGCAGAAUUACCAGGAAGAGCUGAAGAGAGAGGAAACGAUGCAGGUGGAACAACUACGUAAGGAAAAAGAGAAGCGAAUAGGUCUUCUCCUGGAGGAGCUUAAGAGACAAGACGAUGAGCAACAGUAUAAACUGGAGAAGGAAAAUAAAUUGCAUGACUGCCAGGAAAUGCUGCUGAAAGAGGAAAAUGAUGCCGUGGACAUCUUUAAGAGAGAGAAAGAGAAGAGAAUUAAUCGCUGUCAGGAGGAAUUCAAGCAAGAGGAAGAGGAGGAAGAAGAGCGGUUGAACAAAGAAAAAGAAAAUAGAAUACGCCUUCUUCAGGAUAAGCUGAAGGAAGAGACAGAGGACUUGAUGGUAAGAUUGAACAAUGAGAAGGAGCACAGGAUGCGUCUUCGACAAAUAGAUCAGAAGGGAGAAAAAGAUGAGAAGAUACUGAAGACUGAAUACAAAGAAAGGCUGAGAGGCAAGAACUCGCACAUGGGAGGAAAAGCCAUGGAGAACGACUUCCGGACUUUUUCAAAGCAAUUCUGGACCACCAUCUGCCGCCUCGAGGAGGGGUGCACUGUCAACACCAUGUAUGGUGGGAACGAUGUGCUGCUGACCUCAACUGGGGAUGUAGUGGAUCGGUGGAAGGAAUACUUUGAAAAUCUCCUCAAUACCACCUACACGUCUUUCAAUGAGGAAGCAGUGCCUGGGGACUGUGGUAGGCUCUUCUAUUUCUGUCCUGUAAGGAGUGCUCAGAGAGUAUUGGGUAUCAGACUGCCAGGCUGUGGCGGUCCUCUCCCUGUAUGAUCAGUGUCAGAGCUUGGUCGACAUUGCCGGCAGUAAACCAGACCCUUUUUCUGUGAGGGUUGGACUCCGCCAGGGCUGCCUUUGUCACCGGUACUGUUUACAACUUUUAUGGAUAGAAUUUGUAGGCGCAGUCAGGGCGUUAAGGGGAUCCGGUUUGGUGGCUGCAGGAUUAGGUUUCUGCUUUUUGCGGAUGAUGUGGCUGGCUUCAUCUGGCUAGGAUCUGCAGCUCUCACUGGAUAGGUUUGCAGCUGAGUGUGAAGCGACUGGGAUGAAAAUCAGCACUUCCAAGUUUGAGUCUAUGGUUCACACCAUCUCAGGGUUGAGGAUGAGAUCCUGCCCCAAGUGGAGGAGUUCAAGUACCUCGGGGUCUUGUUUACAAGUGAGGAAAAAGUGAAUCGUGAGAUCGACAGGCGGUGCGGCAUCUGCAGUGAUGCGGACCAUGCAUCUGUUCGUCGUGGUGAAAAAGGAGCUGAGCCGGAAGGCAAAGUUCUCAAUUUACUGGUCAAUCUACAUUCUUAUCCUCACCUAUGGUCAUUAGCUUUGGGUUAUAACCGAAAGGACAAGAUCACGAGUACCAGCAGCCAAAAUGAGUUGUGUCUGUUCGGUGGCGGGGCUCUCCUUCGAGAUAGGGUGAGAAGGUUUCUCAGAGCAAAACCGCUGUUCCUCCACAUUGAGAGGAGCCAGAUCAGGUAGUUCAGGCAUUUGCUCAGAAUGCCCCCCAGAUGCCUCCCUGGGGAGGUGUGUAGGACACGCCCGAUCGGUAGGAGGCCACAGUAAAGACCCAGGACACAUUGGAGAGACUAUGUCUCCCAGCUGGCCUGGGACGGUCUUGGGAUCCCCCGGGAAGAGAUGGAUCAAGUAGCUGGGGAGAGGGAAGUCUGGGCUUCCAUGCUUAGGCUGCUGUCCUCGCAACCCGACUUCGGCUAUGCGAAAGAAGAUGGAUGGAUGAUGGAUUAUACAGAGUACAUCUUCACUUCACAUGUACAAUUUUGCAUUUCUUUAGCCUUUUUCACAAAUUUUUACACAUUAGGGUAAAAUCAAAAAUCCCAUUACAGUUUUGAUUUCUUUCUUUUUUUAAACACAUAGAAUACAUACGCUAGUGUGCUGUAGCACCUAUGCUAAGUAAAGUUCCUUGAAUGUAAAAAAUAAAUCACAACAUGCUCAUUUCCAGACAAUUUACAUAUGGGUUGCGUUAUUGUCAACGUCAAAACAUUUGGUAUUAAUAGACAUUUUAUUUUGUUUAUAUUUUUACCGACAAAAGGUUAUCGUCAGUUUCCAUGUGCGUAAUGUGCAACAGUAUGCAGCACAAUGUGCAGGUAUUCUUGUAGUUUAGUUGUAGUUUCCAUACCUUCUAUUUUCUGCCACAGGCUUAGGCUCGCCGUAGGCACGCAGAUCAAAAGUGUGUGUCCCAUCUCCCCUUUGGGUUUCAUGUUUUUGUUUACUGUUAAAAAGUCAUCGCCCACUUUCCCUGAAAACAUUUGCAUAGACAAUUUUUACUUUGGAACUAGUUUUAAGGGUCUGAUGAAUACUAAGGCUGUGUAUAUGUACAUCCUGAGGUCUCUGCGACAGUGUAUUCUGGCCAAGAAAAGAGAAGAGGAAGAGCUGUUGAACAAGUUAUCUGGCCGGAAAGAAUUACCUCACUCUGUGCAGAAGGAUCGAGAAGAAAAAGAAAUUAGGCUCAGAGAGGACCGAGAAAAUGUUCUCAGAGAGAUUU
RNA transcript from Nerophis lumbriciformis (worm pipefish), 9204 nucleotides. RefSeq lists it as uncharacterized. The record is from RefSeq and is a predicted model, not a curated record. NCBI's taxonomy places the organism in Eukaryota, Metazoa, Chordata, Actinopteri, Syngnathiformes, Syngnathidae.